GGAGGAUCUCAUUGAGAAGAUAUCAUUUGAGCAAAGAUGUAAAGCAAGGGAGGGAAUGAGUCAGUGGCUACAUAGGGAGAGUGUCCUAGGCAGAGGAAACAGCUUCUACAAAAGCCCUGAAGCAAUAGAAUGUUUGAAGUGUUCAAGAAUAAACAGGAGAUGCAGAAUGAAUGGAAUUGAGAGUGAGUGAGGCAGUCGGAUACAAGAGAGACUAAUAUGGGGCAGCACUGAAGACUGCUGACAGCAGCCACAUGAGUGAGCUCAGAGUGGACACAACAGCCCCUUCAGAGGCUGCAGGGAUGGCAGACAGCCUGACUGCAAUGUCGUGAAAGAUGCUGAGGCAGAACCAUGCAGCAAAGUCAUUCCCAGAUUCCUGACUCUCAGAAAAUGUUGUUACUUUAGAGAAGUCUGAACUUGCCCUUUUUUUCAUCUUUAUGCCUGAGGAAAUUUUUCUUUAUCAUCAAAGAACUCUGAGAAUUGAUGGGCACUGUGUUAGAGCAAGUGGGAAGUAUAGACACAGCUUCCCAUGUUAAGCACGAGCAAGAAGAAAGUAAUUUGAAUGGAAACUAUUCGAAUAUAUCACAGUGAUCAAAGAUUUAAAAGUGGAUGAAAAGAGACAGCUCAAGAACCCAAUUCAGA
Molecule: long non-coding RNA, 639 nt
Filed under: Pan troglodytes (chimpanzee)
Lineage: Eukaryota; Metazoa; Chordata; Mammalia; Primates; Hominidae
Description: long non-coding RNA NONPTRT011534
Source: RNAcentral